ACGGGGAGCUUGAGCGCGGAAAACAUCCGCGGAAAAGGCUGAGAGGGCAGUAAUCGCCGACCCGCUGAACCUGACGGAUAAUGCCGGCGUAGGGAACAUAUCU
Molecule: non-coding RNA, 103 nt
Filed under: uncultured Saccharofermentans sp.
Lineage: Bacteria; Bacillati; Bacillota; Clostridia; Eubacteriales; Oscillospiraceae
Source: RNAcentral